RNAcentral lists this long non-coding RNA (1378 nucleotides) under Hordeum vulgare. RNAcentral describes it as "long non-coding RNA (HVUL_LNC006640)". Lineage: Eukaryota; Viridiplantae; Streptophyta; Magnoliopsida; Poales; Poaceae. The record is from RNAcentral.
UAUCAUAGGCUUCAGUAUUAAUGGUUGCAUGUUGUAACCUAUUGCUUUGCAAGAAGUAGCAAGAUCUCCUUUCGUAAUUCUAACCAAUAAAAAAUAUACGGACAAGUUGUUGCUAUAGACAUGUGGAUAAUUGUUUGCAUGUUGUAAUUUUAAUUCUAGACACACCUUCAUUAGUUAUUUUCACAUGAGAAUCUGACACAAAAUUGUAGCUUAAAUCUCCGACGGAUGUUCCCAUUAUUACGUUGUUCCAUAUGAAUUAUAAAUAAAAAGUGUUUUAUUUCUUCAUUGCUUGCCCAGUCGAGGCUUGAAGCUGCUUCUUCUGAAAACAGUGAACUUCAUAAUUGUAUCAUCCCAAAUUACAUGGUCAGACCAAGAAUUGCUUGAAUCAAAUCAACACCGAGUGUUCAAGAGGAGAGAAGCAUCGAUGGUUCGGACUUGAGAAGACGGAUAUAUGUGGUUGUAAAGUCGAUGGAGGAUGUAAGUUUAGUUUUAUUCUAAGUUUCUCAUUAGCUAGAUAGCUCUGCUUCAUUUCCUGAUAUUGUGUACCCUUUAUGUUCAGGGUAUGAUUUAGUUAUGAGGUAGAUCAUAAUUGUAUUCUUACUUCUAAUUAAUAUGUAAUUCAUUUUUAGUGAGGAUUGGUCUUCCCGUGGCGCUUCCACUCUGACGGGCGGUCACACCGGUGACAAAAUAGUCCUUAAUUUUACUUGACUAGGUGUAUAUUAUUGUAGGGACUUCUGAGGUAAUUUUCUAUGUGCAUGUGUUAGAAAACCAUAUCAUAAAUUAUGUGGGACAUAUGUAGAUACGUAGGCGACUUCCAAUAACAUUGUCCAUGGGGAAUGGAAAGAUUCAAUCAGCGACACGGGCCAACGCUAACUUGGGGUCAUCGCUCGAAACUCUUUCGGCAUGUCGUUCCUCUCCUUGAGCUGAUGGACGAGGAAGACCGUGCUCCUGCAUUGAGGAAGUUGAGGCACAGCCUGCUCUGUCGGGGUUGGCUGCACUGUCGACUGUGUACUGAGGCCCAACGCUCUCGAGGACGGGCAAUGCUAUGAUUGCUAGAGAGAACUACAGCCAUGAGCAGCCAACGCUCCGUCUGCUACCCAACCAUAAACGACAUCAAGCAGGAGUUGUCCAAAAUUUCAAGCGUGGUAUAUGCCUAGAGAGAUGGGAACUAUUUGGCACAUGAAUUUGCCGGAGCGAAGAUAUAUGAUGAUAUUCUGCUGAUUUCUGCCGUCCUAGAUGACCUUCGAAAUCUAUUGCAGACUGAUUGUAAUCGGGUAUAACCCAACACGACAUGUGCUAUUCCUCAAAUGUUUUUUUACUUCCAAACUGUAUUCGAAGUGGAUGUCAUAUAAAUGCUCCUAUAUUCGUGCAACUCGGC